UACGUAGGGUGCGAGCGUUAAUCGGAAUUACUGGGCGUAAAGCGUGCGCAGGCGGUUUUGUAAGCCAGAUGUGAAAUCCCCGGGCUUAACCUGGGAAUGGCAUUUGGGACUGCAAGGCUCGAGUGCGGCAGAGGAGACUGGAAUUCCUGGUGUAGCAGUGAAAUGCGUAGAUAUCAAGUGGAACACCAGUGGCGAAGGCGAGUCUCUGGACAUUUCCUGACGCUGAGGCACGAAAGCCAGGGGAGCAAACGGG
RNAcentral lists this ribosomal RNA (253 nucleotides) under uncultured bacterium. RNAcentral describes it as "partial 16S ribosomal RNA". It matches the Rfam family "Bacterial small subunit ribosomal RNA", at positions 524 to 776 of the family's 1533-position model. The record is from RNAcentral.